Long non-coding RNA from Harpegnathos saltator (Jerdon's jumping ant), 756 nucleotides. RefSeq lists it as uncharacterized. The transcript is spliced from 4 exons. Lineage: Eukaryota; Metazoa; Arthropoda; Insecta; Hymenoptera; Formicidae. The record is from RefSeq and is a predicted model, not a curated record.
AAGUUAGAACACCUUAAUAACAAUCUGCAAAGUCUCGACAAAAAAGCGCAGCUCUUUGUAACAAACGUUCCAUAAAUAACCGCUGGCGGUGGCAGUGUCCAAGAUGGUAUUCGACUGCGACUUUCCAAUGUACAAAUCUUUGAGGAAACAGAGGAUAUAUAAUAUAUAUUGAUGUAAUAUCAAUUAGAAUGCUUCUUUCAACGAACCAACAGUGGAUACGUUAGUCAUCCAUUGCAACAAAUCCAGUAAUUUCAACAGAUAUUCUCCUGAAUUAAAAUAGAAAUAUUCAGCAAAGAAUAGUUUAAUUACAAGUAUUCCCUCUUGCAUAUAUCGAGAAAACUCAGCAGUCAUGUUUACAUAAUAUUAUGAAACUGACAGCAAUUAAGAAAUGAACAUAUAACGUACCUCUUGUAAGUGUGUUAUAAAGAUUAUAUGAGAAUCUACUUUGAUACUGAAGGUCUGCAUAUGUAAGAAGAUGGUAACCAGCCAUGUUUGAUAAGAGGGAAAUAGCAUUACAAGCAGAGAGUGUAGCAGAGAGGAAGCUGAGAGCGGCCAACACGGCGUUUUCGGCGACACCGAUUUUUUGCACUGGGAAUGGGCGCUAUCUACACCCAUUUUGAGAGCGGAACUACGAUGCUACAUCCACUUUUAGGUCUCGACGGUAAAACCUGCAUCUGGUGGCUGUCCGUGCUACAUCCACUUUCAGGCGGUUUAUGUCCGUGCUACAACCAUGAAAGCGUACUUGACAAGCACGGU